RNAcentral lists this ribosomal RNA (94 nucleotides) under Ruellia caroliniensis. Its description in RNAcentral is "5.8S ribosomal RNA". The stretch from base 38 to 94 matches the Rfam family "5.8S ribosomal RNA", at positions 1 to 57 of the family's 154-position model. From Rfam's summary of the family: 5.8S ribosomal RNA (5.8S rRNA) is a component of the large subunit of the eukaryotic ribosome. It is transcribed by RNA polymerase I as part of the 45S precursor that also contains 18S and 28S rRNA. The record is from RNAcentral. Lineage: Eukaryota; Viridiplantae; Streptophyta; Magnoliopsida; Lamiales; Acanthaceae.
GCAAAGGGGGUAUGGUGCGUAUCUUGAAUGUCAAAACGACUCUCGGCAACGGAUAUCUCGGCUCUCGCAUCGAUGAAGAACGUAGCGAAAUGCG